RNAcentral lists this ribosomal RNA (505 nucleotides) under uncultured bacterium. RNAcentral's name for it is "partial 16S ribosomal RNA". It matches the Rfam family "Bacterial small subunit ribosomal RNA", at positions 28 to 507 of the family's 1533-position model. The record is from RNAcentral.
GACGAACGCUGGCGGCGUGCCUAAUACAUGCAAGUAGAACGCACAGUUUAUACCGUAGCUUGCUACACCAUAGACUGUGAGUUGCGAACGGGUGGGUAACGCGUAGGUAACCUGCCUGGUAGCGGGGGAUAACUAUUGGAAACGAUAGCUAAUACCGCAUAAUAUUAAUUAUUGCAUGAUAAUUGAUUGAAAGAUGCAACUGCAUCACUACCAGAUGGACCUGCGUUGUAUUAGCUAGUAGGUGAGGUAACGGCUCACCUAGGCGACGAUACAUAGCCGACCUGAGAGGGUGAUCGGCCACACUGGGACUGAGACACGGCCCAGACUCCUACGGGAGGCAGCAGUAGGGAAUCUUCGGCAAUGGACGAAAGUCUGACCGAGCAACGCCGCGUGAGUGAAGAAGGUUUUCGGAUCGUAAAGCUCUGUUGUAAGAGAAGAACGGGUGUGAGAGUGGAAAGUUCACACUGUGACGGUAUCUUACCAGAAAGGGACGGCUAACUACGUG